Molecule: ribosomal RNA, 438 nt
Filed under: uncultured bacterium
Lineage: Bacteria
Description: bacterial SSU rRNA
Rfam family: Bacterial small subunit ribosomal RNA
Source: RNAcentral
UGGGAACGCGAAGAACCUUACCUACUCUUGACAUCCAGAGAACUUAGCAGAGAUGCUUUGGUGCCUUCGGGAACUCUGAGACAGGUGCUGCAUGGCUGUCGUCAGCUCGUGUUGUGAAAUGUUGGGUUAAGUCCCGCAACGAGCGCAACCCUUAUCCUUUGUUGCCAGCGAUUCGGUCGGGAACUCAAAGGAGACUGCCAGUGAUAAACUGGAGGAAGGUGGGGAUGACGUCAAGUCAUCAUGGCCCUUACGAGUAGGGCUACACACGUGCUACAAUGGCAUAUACAAAGAGAAGCGACCUCGCGAGAGCAAGCGGACCUCAUAAAGUAUGUCGUAGUCCGGAUUGGAGUCUGCAACUCGACUCCAUGAAGUCGGAAUCGCUAGUAAUCGUGGAUCAGAAUGCCACGGUGAAUACGUUCCCGGGUCUUGUACACACCG